Molecule: unclassified non-coding RNA, 1288 nt
Filed under: Caenorhabditis elegans
Lineage: Eukaryota; Metazoa; Nematoda; Chromadorea; Rhabditida; Rhabditidae
Description: Non-coding transcript of protein-coding gene F32B5.6c
Source: RNAcentral
AUGGAUGAUAUAGCAGUUCCAAUUGCGUCCACGUCGGGCGAAGAUUCAGUAAUCUCGUUUCAGCACCCAUGGACAUUAAAGACAAAUCGAGGACGAGACAAUUUUGUUAAAUGUAUCACGACCGUUUUCCACGUCAUACAAGCAUGUGCAGUUUACAUGGGCUCUGCGGUUGACCGAUGAGUAUGUGCUCUCAAAUAAUGCAGCCGUCGACUCGAAUCGCCACGUGCUCCUGCACCUUUACUACAAAGAGGGUCCAUGCCCGGAGGUGGCCGUCGAGGAGGUCAGAGCACAGAUCCUUGAUCCAGUCACCAAUGAGACCUUGUUCGCCGGUCUGGCGUUGUCGCCGACCGAGUUUUCGCGGGGAAGCGGUUGGCCGAUCCAUAUGGAGAAGGAGCGACGGGCAGAGUUUACCGAGUUGGUGCACAAGAAGGUGGAUUCGAAUUUGUUGGUCGUGGUUGAGAUCAAGAUGAAGGAGUCGCUGUUCGAGCCAUUGAACUAUCUGCCGGAUGUUGAGACGGCGUUUAGGAGCCAGAGAAUCGAGAAGGCGGUGAACAAGUUUGUUGAUGAUGUUAUCAAUGGAAAGAUUCGGAUUCCUGAUUUGGAGCACGUCGAUGAAAAGCAGGCUGACAAAUUCUCGGUUCACCGGCUGAUUUUCAUUUAUGGCGUCGACUCGGUAUCGCGCGAGAUAUCGGACAACGAGCAACAAAGCGAAAUCUGUGAGCAACUCGUGAGAAAUACCUUUGCUCACAUCUACUUCGAACGGGUGCUCUCCCGAGAAAUCACGUACUUUGAUGAUUUUGUCACCCUCGUCGAGGGUCUCACCUUUGCUCAUCUCCCAGCUCUUCGGAAGGAAGUAGAACGAUUUAUUUGCCAAAAAGUUAUCGAGAUUCAGGCUGAUAUGGAUCCAUCGUUCGCUAAAAAGCUACUACUGGUUUCUGAGAAGUACAACUUGGAGAUUUUGAAGAUGGUGAUCAACGGGUUCCUUGUCGAUCAAAUCAUUGGAAACUCGAACCCGCCAAAAGAGCUCGUCAACAUUACACAUGAGCUCCAACAGAUGGCCCAUGAGAUCCGCGAAAACGAGAAUAUCGAGAAUCUUGUCGGAGCAGUCGUAACAGAUCUUCAGGAGCUCACACGUCGAGUCCGUCGGGUAUCGCUCUCCCACAGUCCAUCACAAUCGUCCCAUAGCAGCUCUCCCCUCGCUACCCCAACAAAUGGAAGUGGUUCUCCAUCGGUUCCGGCUCCAUUCGACUCCCCGACAAGCCGCUUCAAACGAGUUUCCCUGGCCUAA